This 2246-nucleotide small RNA is filed under the name Pan troglodytes (chimpanzee). RNAcentral describes it as "retained intron". Lineage: Eukaryota; Metazoa; Chordata; Mammalia; Primates; Hominidae. The record is from RNAcentral.
UUUUUAAGCAAAAGGGAGUUCAUUUAUUUGGGGUUUCACAAAACCUCAUUAGGCUCUCUACUGUCUAUCUAAAUACUUCCAUCCAUUUCCUCCUAUCCUGUCCAUAACUGAAGGUGGAGCCCACUGUUACUUAACGGUAUUUGUGUUAAGGACACUGAGCAAUGCCGUAUUAGUUGUAUAAUGACUUCACUACCUGCUGGGUUUGAAUCCCAGGCUCGUCAUUUGCUGGCUGCAGUGCAGCUCUUUCAGACUUGUAAUUUUAAGGUAGUAGCACAUGGUAAACACUCAAAAAAUGUUAUUUCUUAUCCUUCUAUCUAUUUUGGAGGUUUGGUAUAACAGCAUAGUAGGAAGAUGAGGGACUUUGAAGUGAGACGUGGGUUUGAAUUAAAGCUUUAUGGCCUUGGGCAAAUCAGUGAGACACGGUAGUCUCUGUUUAAUAUGUACAUGUACUUGUUCUGAGAAUUCAAUGAAUAAUGUAUGUAAAGUGUUCAGAUCCUAGCCAUCAAUAUUUAUUGGAUGUCUUUAAAUCACCUAGUGCAUUAUGGGAGCUCAGUUAGUGGCAGCUAUUAACAAUUUGGGUUUGCCUGUUGCCUUUUCUAGGGUUUGGGUGUUUUAUUCGUUGUAUUUUGAAUGAAUCUUAAUGUAGCAUGCCAUACUGAAUGUGCAUCAUGUAUACACAUAUCUUAAUAUCAAAUCAGAAGUUUUCGUUUCACACUCAGCUUAUUUUAGGAAACAUAUAUUGCUCUGUUCAUAGUGAAUCUGAUUAAUUGAAUGUUUUAUUCCCUGCAUAUGCUUUUAUGUCUUCAGUACCAACCCUCUUGAGGAAGAAGUGCAAGAAUUUUCUCUUAUAAUCCUCUCAUUUGUGAUUAUUCUUGUCUUGGUAAUUUUUGACACUAUCCACAGUAUAGUUACAUGUUACAUGCCUUGUGUUUUUUAAACCUUAAAGUUGCAUAUGCAUUGCUGUAACUCAAGCAUGCUUUCAUUGCUUUGUUCCCUAGUUCAAACUAUGUUUUAACUGAUGAGCAAUCACUUUGGAUUGAAGAUACUACAAAAUCAGUUUAUCAAGUAAGUUCAACACGCAACAAACCCAUGAUUGAAAAAAUGGAAAUAUAGGAUUUUCUUUGUUUCAGCCCCAAAUAGGAAAAUAAGGAUAAAGUUAAGCUCAGGUACAAGACCACAAACACUCCUUGGUUCUCUGCCUACAAACCACUCCUAUGAUGCAGAAAGUUGUUGAAAGCUUAGUAUAUUCUUUCUAAUCACAGCUACUAUCUGAAAACCCCCCCGAUGGAGAAAGAUUUUCAAAGAUGGUAGAGCAUAUAUUAAACACUGAAGAAAACUGGAACUCGUGGAAAAAUGAAGGUUGCCCAAGUUUUGUGAAACAUCAGAUACCAAACCUACGAGAAUAAUUCGGAAGAGAACAGCACCCGAGGACUUCCUAGGGAAAGGACCCAGCAAAAAAAUUCUGAUGGGAAAUGAGGAGUUAACAAGGCUUUGGAAUCUUUGUCCUGAUAAUAUGGAAGCCUGUAAAUCAGAGACAAGGGAAUACAUGCCCACUUUGGAGGAAUUCUUUGAAGAAGCCAUUGAACAGGCAGACCCUGAAAAUAUGGUUGAAAAUGAAUAUAAGGCUGUGAACAAUUCAAAUUAUGGUUGGAGAGCCCUGAGACUAUUAGCACGGAGAAGCCCUCACUUCUUCCAGCCAACCAACCAGCAGUUUAAAAGUUUACCAGAAUAUCUUGAAAAUAUGGUAAUAAAGCUAGCCAAGGAAUUACCGCCUCCUUCUGAAGAAAUAAAAACAGGUGAGGAUGAAGAUGAGGAAGAUAAUGAUGCUUUACUGAAGGAAAAUGAAAGUCCUGAUGUUCGGCGAGACAAACCUGUAACAGGAGAACAAAUAGAGGUAUUUGCCAACAAGCUGGGUGAACAAUGGAAGAUUCUGGCUCCCUACUUGGAAAUGAAAGACUCAGAAAUUAGGCAGAUUGAGUGUGACAGUGAAGACAUGAAGAUGAGAGCUAAGCAGCUUCUGGUUGCCUGGCAAGAUCAAGAGGGAGUUCAUGCAACACCUGAGAAUCUGAUUAAUGCACUGAAUAAGUCUGGAUUAAGUGACCUUGCAGAAAGUCUAACUAAUGACAAUGAGACAAAUAGUUAGCUUCUUUUUUUUUCUUUUUAUUAAAACUGUGAUAGAUUUUGUUACCAAGCAGCAUUUGAUAAGAGGUCCACUGGUUUUGGUAAACAAUAAACAUUUUUAUAAC